Molecule: microRNA precursor, 81 nt
Organism: Danio rerio (zebrafish)
Lineage: Eukaryota; Metazoa; Chordata; Actinopteri; Cypriniformes; Danionidae
Gene: dre-mir-430b-18
Product: microRNA 430b-18
Source: Ensembl
CAGUUGAGGUCAACUCUAACUUUAGCAUCUUUCUUUUAAGCAAAGUAGAAAGUGCUAUCAAGUUGGGGUAGAUGUUUGUUG